UACGUAGGGUGCAAGCGUUGUCCGGAAUUAUUGGGCGUAAAGAGCUCGUAGGCGGUUUGUCGCGUCGGCUGUGAAAGCCCGGAGCUCAACUCCGGGUCUGCAGUCAAUACGGGCAGACUUGAGUGUUGCAGGGGAGACUGGAAUUCCUGGUGUAGCGGUGAAAUGCGCAGAUAUCAGGAGGAACACCGGUGGCGAAGGCGGGUCUCUGGGCAACAACUGACGCUGAGGAGCGAAAGCGUGGGGAGCGAACAGG
RNAcentral lists this ribosomal RNA (253 nucleotides) under uncultured bacterium. Its description in RNAcentral is "partial 16S ribosomal RNA". It matches the Rfam family "Bacterial small subunit ribosomal RNA", at positions 524 to 776 of the family's 1533-position model. The record is from RNAcentral.